AUUGAACGCUGGCGGAAUGCUUUACACAUGCAAGUCGAACGGCAGCACGGACUUCGGUCUGGUGGCGAGUGGCGAACGGGUGAGUAAUGUAUCGGAACGUGCCCAGUCGUGGGGGAUAACGUAGUGGAAAUUACGCUAAUACCGCAUACGAUCUAUGGAUGAAAGCGGGGGAUCGCAAGACCUCGCGCGUUUGGAGCGGCCGAUAUCAGAUUAGGUAGUUGGUGGGGUAAAGGCCCACCAAGCCAACGAUCUGUAGCUGGUCUGAGAGGACGACCAGCCAAACUGGAACUAGGACACGGUCCAGACUCCUACGGGAGGCAGCAGUGGGGAAUUUUGGACAAUGGGCGAAAGCCUGAUCCAGCCAUUCCGCGUGCAGGAUGAAGGCCCUCGGGUUGUAAACUGCUUUUGUACAGAACGAAAAGGUUUCUACUAAUACUAGGAGCUCAUGACGGUACUGUAAGAAUAAGCACCGGCUAACUACGUGCCAGCCGCCGCCGUAA
This 500-nucleotide ribosomal RNA is filed under the name uncultured bacterium. RNAcentral's name for it is "partial 16S ribosomal RNA". It matches the Rfam family "Bacterial small subunit ribosomal RNA", at positions 30 to 523 of the family's 1533-position model. The record is from RNAcentral.